Molecule: long non-coding RNA, 271 nt
Filed under: Lathyrus oleraceus (garden pea)
Lineage: Eukaryota; Viridiplantae; Streptophyta; Magnoliopsida; Fabales; Fabaceae
Description: Pisum sativum (pea) long non-coding RNA (PSAT_LNC031748)
Source: RNAcentral
GAGUUCCCUUCUUGAGAUCAUAAAGAUGAUCCAAGUUGCUCCUUUCCUUUGGACUUAGCAAGCAAUAAGCAAAUAACUCAAACAAUCAAGCAAAUAAUCAAUCAAGCUCCUAGGAAUCUUCCAAUUGGCUUUUGUCUCUCUUAUCUUGGAUGUCCAUGACAAUGGUUCUUCUAAGUAGCUCAAGUUUAGGAUCCCUAGCACACAAGAACACACAAAUCAAAAAGUUCCACAAUGCAAAUAAAAGAAUGGACAAGAGUGAGUUCAGAAUUAG